CAUUCUGUAGCAAUACAGGAUGUGGGCGCGUGGCGAACGGGUGCGUAACACGUGGAUAACCUUCCUUCAGGUGGGGAAUAACCCAGCGAAAGUUGGGCUAAUACCGCAUCACAUUACGAGGGCACAUGCUCUUGUACUCAAAGCCGCAAGGCGCCAGAAGAGGGAUCCGCGGCCGAUUAGCUUGUUGGCGAGGUAAUGGCUCACCAAGGCAAUGAUCGGUAGCCGGACUGAGAGGUUGGCCGGCCACACUGGAACUGAGACACGGUCCAGACUCCUACGGGAGGCAGCAGUGGGGAAUCUUGCGCAAUGGGCGAAAGCCUGACGCAGCAACGCCGCGUGGGGGAUGAAGCUUCUCGGAGUGUAAACCCCUUUCGACCCGGAAGAAUGCCCGCAAGGGUUUGACGGUACGGGUAUAAGAAGCCCAGGCUAACUACGUGCCAGCAGCCGCGGUAAUACGUAGGGGGCCAGCGUUGCUCGGAAUUACUGGGCGUAAAGGGUCCGUAGGCGGUGUGGCAAGUCGGGAGUGAAAUCUCUGGGCUUAACUCAGAGGCUGCUUCCGAAACUGCCGUGCUAGAGUGUGAGAGAGGCGAGUGGAAUUGCGGGUGUAGCGGUGAAAUGCGUAGAUAUCCGCAGGAACAUCCGAGGCGAAAGCGGCUCGCUGGAUCACAACUGACGCUGAGGGACGAAAGCUAGGGGAGCAAACAGGAUUAGAUACCCUGGUAGUCCUAGCCCUAAACCAUCAGGACUUGGGGUUUGCCCUGUACGGGGCAAGUCCCGUAGCUAACGCGUUAAGUCCUGCGCCUGGGGAGUACGGUCGCAAGACUGAAACUCAAAGGAAUUGAC
Molecule: ribosomal RNA, 843 nt
Filed under: uncultured Actinomycetes bacterium
Lineage: Bacteria; Bacillati; Actinomycetota; Actinomycetes
Description: bacterial SSU rRNA
Rfam family: Bacterial small subunit ribosomal RNA
Source: RNAcentral